CCUACGGGGGGCAGCAGUGAGGAAUAUUGGUCAAUGGCCGCAGGGCUGAACCAGCCAAGUCGCGUGAGGGAUGACGGUCCUAUGGAUUGUAAACCUCUUUUGUCAGGGAGCAAAUGGCGCCACGUGUGGCGCUUUGCGAGUACCUGAAGAAAAAGCAUCGGCUAACUCCGUGCCAGCAGCCGCGGUAAUACGGGGGAUGCGAGCGUUAUCCGGAUUUAUUGGGGUUAAAGGGUGCGCAGGCGGAAUGUCAAGUCAGCGGUAAAAUUUCGGGGCUCAACCCCGUCGUGCCGUUGAAACUGGCGUUCUUGAGUGAGCGAGAAGUAGGCGGAAUGCGUGGUGUAGCGGUGAAAUGCAUAGAUAUCACGCAGAACUCCGAUUGCGAAGGCAGCAUACCGGCGCUCAACUGACGCUCAUGCACGAAAGCGUGGGUAUCGAACAGGAUUAGAUACCCCUGUAGUC
Molecule: ribosomal RNA, 459 nt
Filed under: uncultured bacterium
Lineage: Bacteria
Description: partial 16S ribosomal RNA
Rfam family: Bacterial small subunit ribosomal RNA
Source: RNAcentral